This 572-nucleotide small RNA is filed under the name Pan troglodytes (chimpanzee). RNAcentral describes it as "retained intron". The record is from RNAcentral. Lineage: Eukaryota; Metazoa; Chordata; Mammalia; Primates; Hominidae.
AUAUGAUUUUUAAAUUAUGUGAAUACAGCAGUGGAUGCUGGGCCUUUGAGCAGGAGGUGCAGAGAGUGUGCAGUUCUUGCGGUUGUUAAGUGUGUGCUUAUCUCUAAUUAAAUCUGUGUGUUUCCAUAGACAGUGAUCCCAUCGGGCUUUCGAGUUGGUAUGAAGCUUGAGGCAGUAGACAAAAAGAAUCCCUCAUUCAUCUGUGUUGCUACGGUAACAGAUAUGGUGGACAAUCGUUUCCUGGUACAUUUUGACAACUGGGAUGAGAGCUAUGACUAUUGGUGUGAAGCAUCAAGUCCACAUAUUCAUCCAGUUGGUUGGUGUAAAGAACAUAGAAGAACCCUUAUUACUCCACCAGGUUAUCCAAAUGUGAAACAUUUUUCUUGGGAUAAAUACUUAGAAGAAACCAAUUCUUUACCUGCUCCUGCAAGAGCUUUCAAAGUGAAACCUCCUCAUGGAUUCCAGAAAAAAAUGAAGCUUGAGGUUGUAGACAAAAGGAACCCUAUGUUUAUUAGAGUAGCAACUGUGGCAGACACAGAUGAUCACCGGGUAAAAGUUCACUUUGAUGGCUG